RNAcentral lists this ribosomal RNA (252 nucleotides) under uncultured bacterium. Its description in RNAcentral is "partial 16S ribosomal RNA". It matches the Rfam family "Bacterial small subunit ribosomal RNA", at positions 524 to 773 of the family's 1533-position model. The record is from RNAcentral.
UACGUAGGGUGCAAGCGUUAAUCGGAAUUACUGGGCGUAAAGCGUGCGCAGGCGGUUAUAUAAGACAGUUGUGAAAUCCCCCGGGCUCAACCUGGGGAACUGCAUCUGUGACUGUAUAGCUAGAGUACGGUAGAGGGGGAUGGAAUUCCGCGUGUAGCAGUGAAAUGCGUAGAUAUGCGGAGGAACACCGAUGGCGAAGGCAAUCCCCUGGACCUGUACUGACGCUCAUGCACGAAAGCGUGGGGAGCAAAC